This 468-nucleotide ribosomal RNA is filed under the name uncultured bacterium. RNAcentral's name for it is "partial 16S ribosomal RNA". It matches the Rfam family "Bacterial small subunit ribosomal RNA", at positions 28 to 507 of the family's 1533-position model. The record is from RNAcentral.
GACGAACGCUGGCGGCGUGCUUAACACAUGCAAGUCGAACGGAAAGGCCCUGCUUUUGUGGGGUGCUCGAGUGGCGAACGGGUGAGUAACACGUGAGUAACCUGCCCUUGACUUUGGGAUAACUUCAGGAAACUGGGGCUAAUACCGGAUAGGAGCUCCUGCUGCAUGGUGGGGGUUGGAAAGUUUCGGCGGUUGGGGAUGGACUCGCGGCUUAUCAGCUUGUUGGUGGGGUGGUGGCUUACAAAGGCUUUGACGGGUAGCCGGCCUGAGAGGGUGACCGGCCACAUUGGGACGGAGAUACGGCCAGGACUCCUACGGGGGGCAGAAGGGGGGAAUAUUGCACAAUGGGCGGAAGCCUGAGGCAGCAACGCCGCGGGCGGGAUGACGGCCUUCGGGUUGUAAACCGCUUUCGCCUGUGACGAAGCGUGAGUGACGGUAAUGGGUAAAGAAGCACCGGCUAACUACGUG